Molecule: non-coding RNA, 72 nt
Organism: Zootoca vivipara (common lizard)
Lineage: Eukaryota; Metazoa; Chordata; Lepidosauria; Squamata; Lacertidae
Source: the annotation of a RefSeq genome assembly
GCCAUGAUCGUACAGUGGUUAGUACUCUGCACCGGGACUGCAGUAACCUCGGUUCGAAUCCGAGUCAUGGCA